GAAAGAGCUCAAAGUUGGAAACUGUUUGGCUUAGCUAAACCGUAUUGUAAACUGUAGAAACAUUUUCCUGGCACACCAGAUUAAUAAGUCCUUUGGAACAAGGCAUCAUGGAGGGUGAGAAUCCCGUCUUUGAUCUGAGUAGUUGUCUUUUGUGAUAUGUUUUCAAAGAGUCAGGUUGUUUGGGAAUGCAGCCUAAAUUGGGUGGUAAAUCUCACCUAAAGCUAAAUAUUUGCGAGAGACCGAUAGCGAACAAGUACCGUGAGGGAAAGAUGAAAAGAACUUUGAAAAGAGAGUUAAACAGUAUGUGAAAUUGUUAAAAGGGAACCGUUUGGAGCCAGACUGGUUUGCUUGUAAUCAACCUAGAAUUCGUUUUGGGUGCACUUGCAGGCUAUACCUGCCAACAACAGUUUGAUUUGGAGGAAAAAAUUAGUAGGAAUGUAGCCUCUCGAGGUGUUAUAGCCUACUAUCAUACUCUGGAUUGGACUGAGGAACGCAGCGAAUGCCUUUAGGCAAGAUUGCUGGGUGCUUUCGCUAAUAAAUGUUAGAAUUUCUGCUUCGGGUGGUGCUAAUGUUUAAAGGAGGAACACAUCUAGUAUAUUUUUUAUUCGCUUAGGUUGUUGGCUUAAUGACUCUAAAUGACCCGU
This 644-nucleotide ribosomal RNA is filed under the name Mucor racemosus. Its description in RNAcentral is "eukaryotic LSU rRNA". It matches the Rfam family "Eukaryotic large subunit ribosomal RNA", at positions 101 to 652 of the family's 3401-position model. Lineage: Eukaryota; Fungi; Mucoromycota; Mucoromycetes; Mucorales; Mucoraceae. The record is from RNAcentral.